This 839-nucleotide ribosomal RNA is filed under the name Nesterenkonia sp. DJLY32. RNAcentral describes it as "bacterial SSU rRNA". It matches the Rfam family "Bacterial small subunit ribosomal RNA", at positions 369 to 1219 of the family's 1533-position model. Lineage: Bacteria; Bacillati; Actinomycetota; Actinomycetes; Micrococcales; Micrococcaceae. The record is from RNAcentral.
CCAUGGGCGAAGCCUGAUGCAGCGACGCCGCGUGCGGGAUGACGGCCUUCGGGUUGUAAACCGCUUUCAGCAGGGAAGAAGCGAAAGUGACGGUACCUGCAGAAGAAGCGCCGGCUAACUACGUGCCAGCAGCCGCGGUAAUACGUAGGGCGCGAGCGUUAUCCGGAAUUAUUGGGCGUAAAGAGCUCGUAGGCGGUUUGUCACGUCUGCUGUGAAAGCCCGAGGCUCAACCUCGGGUGUGCAGUGGGUACGGGCAGACUAGAGUGCAGUAGGGGAGACUGGAAUUCCUGGUGUAGCGGUGAAAUGCGCAGAUAUCAGGAGGAACACCGAUGGCGAAGGCAGGUCUCUGGGCUGUUACUGACGCUGAGGAGCGAAAGCAUGGGGAGCGAACAGGAUUAGAUACCCUGGUAGUCCAUGCCGUAAACGUUGGGCACUAGGUGUGGGGGACAUUCCACGUUUUCCGCGCCGUAGCUAACGCAUUAAGUGCCCCGCCUGGGGAGUACGGCCGCAAGGCUAAAACUCAAAGGAAUUGACGGGGGCCCGCACAAGCGGCGGAGCAUGCGGAUUAAUUCGAUGCAACGCGAAGAACCUUACCAAGGCUUGACAUGGACCGGAUCGCUGCAGAGAUGCAGUUUCCCUUCGGGGUCGGUUCACAGGUGGUGCAUGGUUGUCGUCAGCUCGUGUCGUGAGAUGUUGGGUUAAGUCCCGCAACGAGCGCAACCCCUAUCCUAUGUUGCCAGCACGUGAUGGUGGGGACUCAUGGGAGACUGCCGGGGUCAACUCGGAGGAAAGGUGGGGACGACGUCAAAUCAUCAUGCCCCUUAUGUCUUGGGCUUCAC